Molecule: transfer RNA, 68 nt
Filed under: Equus caballus (horse)
Lineage: Eukaryota; Metazoa; Chordata; Mammalia; Perissodactyla; Equidae
Description: tRNA-Cys
Rfam family: tRNA
About the family: Transfer RNA (tRNA) molecules are approximately 80 nucleotides in length. Their secondary structure includes four short double-helical elements and three loops (D, anti-codon, and T loops).
Source: RNAcentral
AGUCCCGUGGUGAAUUUNCACAUUGAAUUGCAAAUUCAAAGGAGCAGCUUCAAUUNCUGCCAGGGCUU